RNAcentral lists this ribosomal RNA (483 nucleotides) under uncultured bacterium. Its description in RNAcentral is "partial 16S ribosomal RNA". It matches the Rfam family "Bacterial small subunit ribosomal RNA", at positions 30 to 506 of the family's 1533-position model. The record is from RNAcentral.
AUUGAACGCUGGCGGCAGGCCUAACACAUGCAAGUCGAGCGGAUGACGGGAGCUUGCUCCUUGAUUCAGCGGCGGACGGGUGAGUAAUGCCUAGGAAUCUGCCUGGUAGUGGGGGACAACGUUUCGAAAGGAACGCUAAUACCGCAUACGUCCUACGGGAGAAAGCAGGGGACCUUCGGGCCUUGCGCUAUCAGAUGAGCCUAGGUCGGAUUAGCUUGUUGGUGAGGUAAUGGCUCACCAAGGCGACGAUCCGUAACUGGUCUGAGAGGAUGAUCAGUCACACUGGAACUGAGACACGGUCCAGACUCCUACGGGAGGCAGCAGUGGGGAAUAUUGGACAAUGGGCGAAAGCCUGAUCCAGCCAUGCCGCGUGUGUGAAGAAGGUCUUCGGAUUGUAAAGCACUUUAAGUUGGGAGGAAGGGUUGUAGAUUAAUACUCUGCAAUUUUGACGUGACCGACAGAAUAAGCACCGGCUAACUCUGU